GAAAUGCGAUAAGUAAUGUGAAUUGCAGAAUUCAGUGAAUCAUCGAAUCUUUGAACGCACCUUGCGCUCCUUGGUAUUCCUUGGAGCAUGCCUGUUUGAGUAUCAUGCAAUCUUCAAAGUAAAUCUUUUGUUAACUCAAUUGGUUUCUACUUUGGUAUUGGAGGUCUUUGCAGCUUCACACCUGCUCCUCUUUGUUCAUUAGCUGGAUCUCAGUGUUAUGCUUGGUUCCACUCGGCGUGAUAAGUUAUCUAUCGCUGAGGACACUGUAAAAGGUGGCCAAGGUAAAUGCAGAUGAACCGCUUCUAAUAGUCCAUUGACUUGGACAAUACUUUUAUGAUCUGAUCUCAAAUCAGGUAGGACUACCCGCUGAACUUAAGC
This 378-nucleotide unclassified non-coding RNA is filed under the name plant metagenome. RNAcentral's name for it is "partial contains 5.8S ribosomal RNA, internal transcribed spacer 2, and large subunit ribosomal RNA". The stretch from base 1 to 105 matches the Rfam family "5.8S ribosomal RNA", at positions 50 to 154 of the family's 154-position model. The record is from RNAcentral.